This 648-nucleotide long non-coding RNA is filed under the name Homo sapiens (human). RNAcentral's name for it is "non-protein coding lnc-WRNIP1-24:2". Lineage: Eukaryota; Metazoa; Chordata; Mammalia; Primates; Hominidae. The record is from RNAcentral.
GAGGAAGGAAUAAACAGUCACAAAACCUGGAAGCUAAAAGAUUCAUAAAUUUGACUACAUAAAAACUCUAAUUUCACAUGGUGAAAAUACUGUAAACAAGAUAAAAUACAAAUAACAAUCUAGGGAUAUAUUUAUGAUCCUAUUGAAGGCAAAAUUAAAAUUGAAUUAAUUACACUUCAUUUUCUUUGUUUUUUCCCUCCCUCCCUCUCUACCUUCUUUCCUUCCUUCCUUUUUCUUUCCUUUUUUGCUAUUCAACUUGAAUAAAUGGAGACUCUUCUCAUUUUCCUUAAUGAGAUGACUAAACAUUGUAAAUACAUCAAUUUACUCAAGUAAUUUAUAUGCUUAAUGUCAUGCUAAUCCUUCCUCCCAAAAAAUUGAAAGUUAAAAAAAUUACUUUGGGUAUUAAAAAAUUAUUCUAAAGUUCACCAGAAGAAUAAAGAUGGAAAAAUAGAUUUACAAUAUCCAGAAAUUGGCUAAUAAAUAAAAUUAUGCUUUCUCCUGAAUGUCAAUAAUACAAAAUCAAAUUCCAUGUGAAUUAGUUAAAUCAUUACAAAAAUAAAAGUUUAGAGAAAAAACUAUUUUAUUUUACUACUUUAUGAAUGGAAAAGUACUUCUAAGAAUGGAAGUGGUGUCGGAAAUCACAAAGGG